GCAAAGCCAAGUCUAUUGCUGAGAAAACGAGAAGCACCAGUUUCCACUUGAGAUUCUGAUUCAGUAGAUCUGGAGUGAGGCCCUGAAAAGAUUUCCUAACUGGCUCCCAGGAGAUGCCAAUGCUGCCGGCUCAUGGACCACACUUGGAGUUGCAAGGCUUUCGCUGGGACUGUCUCACUCGAAUUUCAAUCCCAACUGGUGGCUCAUAUUCAGACCUUUGAGUGCCUGCUACCGAGAUGCGCUGGGGGACUUGCUCGAGGGUACAGAGCCAGAAGGGAGAAAGUGCAACAGGGCUCUUUUCCACUAACACCUCCGAAGGCAGCAAUUAGGGACCUGAGAAGUCAGCACCUAGCAGACACCGUACAGGUACUGGGCUCCUGGCAAAUGGUGAGUCUGGGCUGCAUCAUAAUUCUAUCUCCAGGGAAGCUUUGGUAAAAACACACAAAACUGAUGUUUUGUGUGUUUUGCUUUUCUCCCCAUCCCAAUGAUUCUCCACUGCCUUAUAUGCAAAACAUUUCCUGCCUGAGGAUUAGGAUUCGGUUGCUGAGAGUUAAAACUCUACUUUUCCCCUAUCAAGAGAACAAAGCCAAAACUCCUCCUUUAAAAAUACAAACUCCUUUUUGCUAUAGAAAUAUUCAAGACAGCCUGUAAUCUCAGUGCUUUGGGAGGCCAAGUGGAAGGAAUGCUUUGAGGCCAGGAGUUCGAGACCAGCCUGGGCAACAUACCUAGACCCCAUGUCUACAAAAAAAUUUUUAAAAGUUAGUCACGCACAGUGGCAACAUGCCUAGAGUUGUAGCUACUUAGGAGGCUGAGGCAGCAGGAUCACUUGAGCCCAGGAGUUCAAGGCAGUAGUG
Molecule: long non-coding RNA, 854 nt
Filed under: Pan troglodytes (chimpanzee)
Lineage: Eukaryota; Metazoa; Chordata; Mammalia; Primates; Hominidae
Description: long non-coding RNA NONPTRT017324
Source: RNAcentral